UUGCACCUGUGUGUUUAUUGUCCUACUUUCUACUCGUUGCUAGAAUGCUAGUAAGAUAUGACACUGGUGCAAAAAGGAAAAGAUGCUCCUUGCAGCAGUAGCGGCCAGACAACCGUAGAAAUAGAUCCACAGAUGGGCCAUUUUCUGCUUCUCUACAAAAUCUAUCUCACAUUU
Lolium rigidum is the source of this 174-nucleotide small nucleolar RNA. RefSeq annotates it as small nucleolar RNA snoR143. NCBI's taxonomy places the organism in Eukaryota, Viridiplantae, Streptophyta, Magnoliopsida, Poales, Poaceae. The transcript has a single exon. The record is from RefSeq and is a predicted model, not a curated record.